RNAcentral lists this ribosomal RNA (626 nucleotides) under uncultured bacterium. Its description in RNAcentral is "bacterial SSU rRNA". It matches the Rfam family "Bacterial small subunit ribosomal RNA", at positions 48 to 689 of the family's 1533-position model. The record is from RNAcentral.
CGAACGAAGCGUGCCGGAGGAAGUUUUCGGAUGGAAUCUGGGAUGACUGAGUGGCGGACGGGUGAGUAACGCGUGGGUAACCUGCCCUGUACAGGGGGACAACAGUUAGAAAUGACUGCUAAUACCGCAUAAGCGCACAGGACCGCAUGGUCCGGUGUGAAAAACUCCGGUGGUACAGGAUGGACCCGCGUCUGAUUAGGUAGUUGGCGGGGUAACGGCCCACCAAGCCGACGAUCAGUAGCCGACCUGAGAGGGUGACCGGCCACAUUGGGACUGAGACACGGCCCAAACUCCUACGGGAGGCAGCAGUGGGGAAUAUUGCACAAUGGGGGAAACCCUGAUGCAGCGACGCCGCGUGAGUGAAGAAGUAUUUCGGUAUGUAAAGCUCUAUCAACAGGGAAGAAAAUGACGGUACCUGACUAAGAAGCCCCGGCUAACUACGUGCCAGCAGCCGCGGUAAUACGUAGGGGGCAAGCGUUAUCCGGAUUUACUGGGUGUAAAGGGAGCGUAGACGGCAGAGCAAGUCUGAAGUGAAAGCCCGCGGCCCAACUGCGGGACUGCUUUGGAAACUGCCCGGCUAGAGUGCUGGAGAGGUAAGCGGAAUUCCUAGUGUAGCGGUGAAAUGC